AUUUUGACCGGACCGUGGCUGGGUUAUCUUUCCCUCCUCUCUUCUUUCUCGCUCAGCCGUGGCCACCCAAGAAAGAAGAAAGUCCAAAGGAGAGAGACUUUGCUAUGCUGGAGGCAAGAAGCCUGAGUAAGGCCGUUGUCUCUUCAACUCUGAUUGAGAAUCCUUCUCCUGGAAAUCUCCAGCCCACUCGACUUGCUCUCCAUGUUAAUGAGGAUGCCUCUUCUUGUUGGGUCUACAUGGCUUCUGGUUGUCACCUCUACAAACUGCAGGUUCCAAUGCAAGAUUCUUCUGUUAACAAGGGGAAAGAAAGCCUUCUCAUCCCUCUCCAAACACAGGUCAUGGACUCUUCAGUAGUUAACCGCUGCCCUCAUCGUUCAGAAAUUCAGAGUAUAGUGCUCUGUGAAACUGAAAGCGUUGGUAACUUGGUGUUGGGAAGUGUGGAUUCCUACGGUCAUCUUAUUGUCUCUAAGCUAGAUAGUAGUGGUAAAGAUAUUGAUAGCCUUACAUAUUCAGUAUCGCCACGGGAUUCAGGUGUUGGAGAAGGUAGUUGGGCAGGGCUCUGUUUCAGUCCAAGUCAAUGGUCAAUGGCAGCUGUAGCCCAUAGCUUCUGCAAAAGCAUUGAUGUUUAUGACCAAGACAUUCACCUGCGAACUUUGCGUACACUCUGGUAUCCAUCCUCAUUGAACUUUUUGCAGAAUUUAAAUCAUGGAGACGGAAGUUCAAUUUUAGCCGUCACUGAGGGCUGCCAGGUAUAGGUUCUUAUGUUUGCUUAGUUAUUCAUUUCUUGCAUGAUAGAUAUUUUUCCACUUCUUCCCAUGGAUUUACUGCAGCUGACAAUAUGGGACUUGAGAAUGAAAGAAAAUGGUGGCUGUCUACAUCGAAUUUGUGGUUCUCUUGGUGAUAUUUUCUAUGCUGUCUGCAGUUCAUCAACUGGUAAUAUAGCUGUGGGUGGAGCUGAUCGCACUGUGACUAUUUAUGAUCCUCGGAGAUGGUCGCCACUAGCAAGAUGGGUGCACUGUUCAAAAUAUGAGAUAACUGGACUUGCAUUCUCAUCACUGGACUCUGAUUAUAUCUAUAUUCAAGGGGUUGAUUAUGAGGUUUUUUGUGGCCAAUGGAAAGAGAGCAAUAAAGCAUUUUCGUUUAGAGGAGACUCAAACUGGCUUGGGUUCAGUAAGUGCUCAAAUUCAAAUAGGGAUUUACUAGGCGGAUGGUGUGAUUCUGGUAGUGUGUUCCUGGCUGAUGUUGGAGCUAAUGGAAGCUAAGUGAAAAACCUGAAAGGUAUAGGAAAUGGACAUCCCGAGUGGUUGUUGAGUCGCCUUCUUUUCUUCUGUGCUGGCUUUUAUUCCUUGCAUGUCCGUGAAUUUUGUCAAGUCAGCAACCUUUUAUCGUCAUGCUUGCAAGCAGGUAUUUCAAGCAGCCAUUGCUUCCAGUCAAGCCAUCGCAGUCAUGAUCUUUAAGCUGUUCACAAGCUAAAGUCAAUGUGCAUGAUCCACUCAUAUAUUUGUUUCCUGGAAUCUAGCAUCCACUUCAAUUUUGUGUUUUGGCCAUCCAAGUUUGGCUCUGCCUAUGAAAGACCGGAAUUUGAUGAUAAUGCAAUACUAUUGAUUUUGUAAGCUACUUUGAGCCUGGAUGAUUAUAGUUUGAAGGAUUUAUUCUUUUAUGGGUUGGUCUUCAAGAUGGCUCUCCAUAUUGAUUUGAAUGUUCUAGUUACAAUGACCGAGGCAAGUGGCUGCAGGGAAAAAAAAAUCAUGACUUUUAUUUUAAGCUUUUUUCAUGGUUGCUGCUAAUCCUCUGAAGAGUAGUUCAUCUUUUGUCCUUUCCUUUUUUUUACUAUAUCUUCUGUUUGCUUUUGAAAAUAAUAAUAGAACAUAAAAUUGCAAGUUCAUGCAACCAUUUGAAGCUGGAAUGGUUGGAUGGUUGCUUGAUUCCAGGUUUCUAUUUUCUAGUCAACUCAACUAUCUAGAACAGUGGCUAAGCUUGGUUUGGUUUAGUGGCUGAAAACAUAAUUCACUUGACA
This 2017-nucleotide unclassified non-coding RNA is filed under the name Hevea brasiliensis (rubber tree). Lineage: Eukaryota; Viridiplantae; Streptophyta; Magnoliopsida; Malpighiales; Euphorbiaceae. The record is from RNAcentral.